GAAAAACACUAUAGCUCCGGCUGUGCUCUUGAUGUUUAGCUUCCUUUUAACAUAUCUUCUCCUUGCCGCCGUUACAUCACGACGGAGGUCAUCAGCCCCACUGCGUCUAGUACCUUCAAGACCUCCCGGACCGCCGAGAUGUGUGGGAUGGCCCAUCAUCGGACUUCUUCAUAUAAUCGGAAAAGCUCCUCACCUUUCACUUGCCACUCUCUCAAGAGUUUAUGGACCAGUCAUGAGUCUUAGACUUGGAAGUUUAACCACAGUGGUCAUUUCUUCACCAGAGGCAGCACGAGAGGUUUUGAGAACGCUCGACCAUGUCUUCUCUGCACAAGCCUUCAGCGAGACCGUUAGAACCAUCGGUCACCAAGAAGAUGUCUCCACUCCACGGCUACCUUCCAUGUCGCCCCAUUGGAGGUAAACUAUAAAUUAGUUAAUUAAAAUUUCACAUUGUUUGGUUUUGACUAUGGUGGACUUGUAUAUACUAGAAUUUAUUAAUCUAUUGACAUGUAGUUCAACCAUGGUCAGCCCAAUAAUCCACUAGGAAUGUAGUCUGGUUCACUGUCUAGGUCGCAUCUUGUCUCAGCACAUGAAUAAUGAUAACAAUAGGAUAGUAUACAAUUUUAUAAUGGAUAAAUCUCACAAAUAACAUUCUUAAUUUUUAUCACAAAUAACAUUAAAAUAGCUUUUAUUAAUUAAUAAAAGACGUAAUCUUGGUAGGGCAGAGAGAGUGAGAGACAAUGAGGAAGGCGAUAGAAACGGUUCAUUUCGAAUUCAUGCUGUAUUUAAUUAAUAAUUAUAUUUUAUAUCUUCCCCCCCCCCCCCACCCCAACAUCUCACUAUUACUCCCUCAUAUUUUUGUAUCUUCUCAAAAUUGCCCCUUUAGUUUUUUCUUACUUAUCUUUGCAUUAAGAUUACAAUGAUAUAGUCAAGUGAAUUGUUGUAUUCAAAUUCUCUUACAUGGAUUGUACUUUAGUGAUCAAAUAAUUAAGUUUAUAUAUAUAUCACAUGGGUUACAAUUAAAAAAUUGGAAAAUGAUGAUGAAUUCUUCAAAUUUUCCUUCUAAUAAAUAUUCCAAGAUCAAAUCCUCUAACAAAAAUAUGGUAUUGCGUAUUAAAUACUUUGAUCAGUGUCUCUUCUGUUAAAAACAAAAUUGUACAUAAAAUAGUAAAAUAAAGAAAAUGGAUUAUAGAUUUUUUUUUUUAAGAUAAAAUGUAAAAUAGUUAACAUACUAUUGAUAAUAUACUAAUUAAUAAAGUUAAAUUAUUGUACUUUAUAUCUGAUUUUUAAUAGAAAUAUAUAAGUAUUUUUACGAAAUUGAUGAGUAUAUAAUAGGAAUGACACGUGAAUAUGUAAUACUUUCAAAACAAGUUUAUUCUCAUAUGAACUUGUUGAAAACAUUAAGAAUUCAAAAUCUACUUAAUAUUUUGAUUAAUGGUAAAACUUGUAACACUUAGAGUUUCUUCAAACUCUAAAAACUUGUCUUAUCUUUUAAUUUUCAGUUCUCCGUAUAUGUUCAGUAUCUACAUCGAAUACAAAUCAUGAGGAUGUGUCCCAUUUUCUGAAUUCGUUGAUGAUGAUGUCUUUAAAAUUGAUAAUAGGGUAUGAUUAGAGCGUCAGAAGAAUACGUGGUCGAAACUAGAACGUGAGAAGUACAUGGACCAGUUUGAGCAACGAAAGAUUCUGCCUCGAUAACGAGGCAACGAGCGUUUUGAUGAUACGUUCCAUGUGACUUGGUAAAAUAAGUGAAGACGUGCUUUACCACAAAAUCACAUCUCCCUACUCAAGCGACGUUGACCGUUGACAAAUCAAGUAAUCUUAAUUUUUAGUUGUUAAAUGGAAUAAGAUUUUACGAUCUUCUAAAAAAUUGAACUCCUGCGGUUAAAUAAUAUAGGUAGUUUUAAAGCACAAAAAUGAAAAAAAAUUAUAUCAUAUACACAAAUUUUCACAAAUUAAAGAUUAAGAUAUAUCAUCGUAUAUGAUAGAAAAUCUUUCUAAUAAAUUAUUCUUUUAUCAUUCAAAACUUAACAUAUCACGUACUGUUGUUGACAAAACACAUAACAUACCACAUAUUGUUUCUUUAGCUUUUAAAACGAUGGACAGACUUUUGUGUCCUAAGCAUAAAUUUCAUUUUGUCAUCAAUGCAUUAUUUAGAUUGAAGCUACUCCUCAUACUAAUCCCAUAAUGAUAAUAAUUAUAGUACUAAUAUAGUUACUACAUAAUAUAAUUUCUAUAAAUAAGUAUAAGCUUGUGGUUAGAAGAAAACGCCACGAGCGUCUGACAAUGAAAAACACUAUAGCUCCGGCUGUGCUCUUGAUGUUUAGCUUCCUUUUAACAUAUCUUCCCCUUGCCGCCGUUACAUCACGACGGAGGUCAUCAGCCCCACUGCGUCUAGUACCUUCAAGACCUCCCGGACCGCCGAGAUGUGUGGGAUGGCCCAUCAUCGGACUUCUUCAUAUAAUCGGAAAAGCUCCUCACCUUUCACUUGCCACUCUCUCAAGAGUUUAUGGACCAGUCAUGAGUCUUAGACUUGGAAGUUUAACCACAGUGGUCAUUUCUUCACCAGAGGCAGCACGAGAGGUUUUGAGAACGCUCGAC
Molecule: long non-coding RNA, 2595 nt
Filed under: Brassica napus (rape)
Lineage: Eukaryota; Viridiplantae; Streptophyta; Magnoliopsida; Brassicales; Brassicaceae
Description: long non-coding RNA (BNAP_LNC015775)
Source: RNAcentral